CCUACGGGAGGCAGCAGUGGGGAAUAUUGGACAAUGGGGGCAACCCUGAUCCAGCCAUGCCGCGUGUGUGAAGAAGGCCCUCGGGUUGUAAAGCACUUUCAGUGAGGAAGAACGCCUGGUGGUUAAUACCCAUCAGGAAAGACAUCACUCACAGAAGAAGCACCGGCUAACUCCGUGCCAGCAGCCGCGGUAAUACGGAGGGUGCGAGCGUUAAUCGGAAUUACUGGGCGUAAAGCGCGCGUAGGUGGCUUGAUAAGCCGGUUGUGAAAGCCCCGGGCUCAACCUGGGAACGGCAUCCGGAACUGUCAAGCUAGAGUGCAGGAGAGGAAGGUAGAAUUCCCGGUGUAGCGGUGAAAUGCGUAGAGAUCGGGAGGAAUACCAGUGGCGAAGGCGGCAUUCUGGACUGACACUGACACUGAGGUGCGAAAGCGUGGGUAGCAAACAGGAUUAGAUACCCUGGUAGUC
RNAcentral lists this ribosomal RNA (465 nucleotides) under Vreelandella stevensii. Its description in RNAcentral is "partial 16S ribosomal RNA". It matches the Rfam family "Bacterial small subunit ribosomal RNA", at positions 338 to 795 of the family's 1533-position model. The record is from RNAcentral. Lineage: Bacteria; Pseudomonadati; Pseudomonadota; Gammaproteobacteria; Oceanospirillales; Halomonadaceae.